UAUGCAAUGAGUUUAAGCUCAAAACAUCCUGCAAAUAUACAUACACAAAAUGAAAGAAAGAAAUAAAAAAGAAAAAAGAAAAAAUGGAAAAAUAGGUCACAUAUUUGUAUGUUUCUUGUUUUUCCAUUUUUUUUUUUUUUUUUUUUUUCCUUUUUUUUUUUUUUUUUUUUUUUCCUUUUUCUUUCUCCUAAUUUGUGUAAUUUUUAUAAAAACAGGAAGGAAGGUCUGAGAUGCUGCAUUUAAAGAAUAGAAAAGAAAAGUCAAUGAAUUUUAAUUUUUUUUUUUUUUUUUUUUUAUAAUUCUUAUGAAUUAAAAAGAAAGAAAAAAAAAGUUAUAACAUUCGUUGUUACUUUUUAUUUCACAUAUAUAUAUAUAUAUAUUCUUUAAUAAAAUUUUUGAGAGAAAAAGUAUUGAACAAAUAUUAAUUAGUUACCAGAAAUAUCAAUCAUAUAUUUAAAAUUUCGUAAGAAGUUUUGUGUAUGGUUUUGAAAAAGCUAAUAAGCAAGUAUACAUUGGUGAGUUCGAUUUUUGAGGUUUUUCUUUAUUCCUACAUCUCAUAUAUCAAUAUUUUUUUUAUAAUUAUAUAUUAUACGAGGUGAUAAUAAGAAAAAUAACUUAAUUCAGACUACUCCUAAAUUCAUUGCUGCAA
This 649-nucleotide RNase P RNA is filed under the name Plasmodium falciparum Tanzania (2000708). Its description in RNAcentral is "Plasmodium RNase_P". It matches the Rfam family "Plasmodium RNase_P". Lineage: Eukaryota; Apicomplexa; Aconoidasida; Haemosporida; Plasmodiidae. The record is from Rfam by way of RNAcentral.